GGGGACCUAGUGUAAGAAGCCAUUCUGAACUCCAAAGAUGAGGAAACUCCUUGUGAGCCAUCCAUCAGGAAUCUCUGGACUUGCUGGAGCUGGACUCUGACAAGUGGCACCCAAACAUGGAGCUGAAGGACCCAGGGACCACUCAGAGAGGAUAAUCUGGUGCUCAUCACUGCUGAUUUCCAUUCAACAUGAUGGAGUUUUGGGGCAAAGGCAUUGAGGAUGGUUCACAGAACUGGUGACGAUGAGGACUGCAGCUAUGGAGCUGCUGGCUCCCCCCGAGGUUGUGACAGUCAGUCUAAGAAAGGAGAGGAAGCCCUUGUGCUUCGGGAAGACGCCAAGUCUUAGAGCAAAUGGUCUCUUUGGUCUCCUUAUGACACAACUCUCAGGACAACUCAGAACAGGUAUAAACAGGAAUUUGAGGAGGAAGCUGAGAAAAGAACAGAGACUUGAGGUUUUCUUAUUUGUUGCUGUAGAUUUACUUUAUUUUUAGCAAGUAAUGAUGGAGUUUUAUCUUCGAUGGGUUUCCAGACGCUAGAAUAAGAAACCUUCCUCGGCCAACACAGGAGCCUCUCUCUUGUACCAGAGGCCGAGAAUGUGUCGGCUUUAAGUACCACAUUCAGGCCUGCGCACUUAGGGACAGUAAAUCAUUCAUCAACCGUCAUCUACAAAGCUUUUGUAUUUUUUAAUUUCUUCCUGUUAAAGGACACAGGUCUGAACCAAACUGACUCCAUGACAGGCUUUAAG
Long non-coding RNA from Suricata suricatta (meerkat), 744 nucleotides. RefSeq lists it as uncharacterized. The record is from RefSeq and is a predicted model, not a curated record. Lineage: Eukaryota; Metazoa; Chordata; Mammalia; Carnivora; Herpestidae. The transcript has 3 exons.